AGCGAACGCUGGCGGCAGGCUUAACACAUGCAAGUCGAACGGGCGUAGCAAUACGUCAGUGGCAGACGGGUGAGUAACGCGUGGGAACGUACCUUUUGGUUCGGAACAACCCAGGGAAACUUGGGCUAAUACCGGAUAAGCCCUUACGGGGAAAGAUUUAUCGCCGAAAGAUCGGCCCGCGUCUGAUUAGCUAGUUGGUGUGGUAACGGCGCACCAAGGCGACGAUCAGUAGCUGGUCUGAGAGGAUGAUCAGCCACAUUGGGACUGAGACACGGCCCAAACUCCUACGGGAGGCAGCAGUGGGGAAUAUUGGACAAUGGGCGCAAGCCUGAUCCAGCCAUGCCGCGUGAGUGAUGAAGGCCCUAGGGUUGUAAAGCUCUUUUGUGCGGGAAGAUAAUGACGGUACCCGGAGAAGAAGCUGCGGCUAACUACGUGCCAG
This 439-nucleotide ribosomal RNA is filed under the name uncultured bacterium. RNAcentral describes it as "bacterial SSU rRNA". It matches the Rfam family "Bacterial small subunit ribosomal RNA", at positions 29 to 511 of the family's 1533-position model. The record is from RNAcentral.